GGCGAACGCUGGCGGCGUGCUUAACACAUGCAAGUCGAACGGAAAGGCCCUGCUUUUGUGGGGUGCUCGAGUGGCGAACGUGUGAGUAACACGUGAGUAACCUGCCCUUGACUUUGGUAUAACUUCAGGAAACUGGGGCUAAUACCGGAUAGGAGCUCCUGCUGCAUGGUGGGGGUUGGAAAGUUUCGGCGGUUGGGUAUGGACUCGCGGCUUAUCAGCUUGUUGGUGGGGUAGUGGCUUACCAAGGCUUUGACGGGUAGCCGGCCUGAGAGGGUGACCGGCAACAUUGGGACUGAGAUACGGCACAGACUCCAACGGGAGGCAGCAGUGGGGAAUAUUGAAAAAUGGGAGGAAGCCUGAUGCAGCAACGCCGCGUGCGGGAUGACGGCCUUCGGGUUGUAAACAGAUUUCGCCUGUGACGAAGCGUGAGUGACGGUAAUGGGUAAAGAAGCACCGGCUAACUACGUG
RNAcentral lists this ribosomal RNA (468 nucleotides) under uncultured bacterium. Its description in RNAcentral is "partial 16S ribosomal RNA". It matches the Rfam family "Bacterial small subunit ribosomal RNA", at positions 28 to 507 of the family's 1533-position model. The record is from RNAcentral.